UGCAUCUUAGUUCAAAUGGUAGAACACAACACUUUGAAUGUUGAAGUUUCAAGUUCGAGUCUUGAAGAUGCAUCCA
This 76-nucleotide transfer RNA is filed under the name Caudoviricetes sp. RNAcentral describes it as "tRNA-Gln". It matches the Rfam family "tRNA". Rfam says of the family: Transfer RNA (tRNA) molecules are approximately 80 nucleotides in length. Their secondary structure includes four short double-helical elements and three loops (D, anti-codon, and T loops). Lineage: Duplodnaviria; Heunggongvirae; Uroviricota; Caudoviricetes. The record is from RNAcentral.